GAGGAUGGGGCGGUUGCUAUACAUGCAAGUCGUACGCACUGGCCCAACUGAUUGAUGGUGCUUGCACCUGAUUGACGAUGGAUCACCAGUGAGUGGCGGACGGGUGAGUAACACGUAGGUAACCUGCCCCGGAGCGGGGGAUAACAUUUGGAAACAGAUGCUAAUACCGCAUAACAACAAAAGCCACAUGGCUUUUGCUUGAAAGAUGGCUUUGGCUAUCACUCUGGGAUGGACCUGCGGUGCAUUAGCUAGUUGGUAAGGUAACGGCUUACCAAGGCGAUGAUGCAUAGCCGAGUUGAGAGACUGAUCGGCCACAAUGGAACUGAGACACGGUCCAUACUCCUACGGGAGGCAGCAGUAGGGAAUCUUCCACAAUGGGCGCAAGCCUGAUGGAGCAACACCGCGUGAGUGAAGAAGGGUUUCGGCUCGUAAAGCUCUGUUGUUGGAGAAGAAUGUGCGUGAGAGUAACUGUUCACGCAGUGACGGUAUCCAACCAGAAAGUCACGGCUAACUACGUGCCAGCAGCCGCGGUAAUACGUAGGUGGCAAGCGUUAUCCGGAUUUAUUGGGCGUAAAGCGAGCGCAGGCGGUUGCUUAGGUCUGAUGUGAAAGCCUUCGGCUUAACCGAAGAAGUGCAUCGGAAACCGGGCGACUUGAGUGCAGAAGAGGACAGUGGAACUCCAUGUGUAGCGGUGGAAUGCGUAGAUAUAUGGAAGAACACCAGUGGCGAAGGCGGCUGUCUGGUCUGCAACUGACGCUGAGGCUCGAAAGCAUGGGUAGCGAACAGGAUUAGAUACCCUGGUAGUCCAUGCUGUAAACGAUGAGUGCUAGGUGUUGGAGGGUUUCCGCCCUUCAGUGCCGGAGCUAACGCAUUAAGCACUCCGCCUGGGGAGUACGACCGCAAGGUUGAAACUCAAAGGAAUUGACGGGGGCCCGCACAAGCGGUGGAGCAUGUGGUUUAAU
RNAcentral lists this ribosomal RNA (962 nucleotides) under Limosilactobacillus reuteri. RNAcentral's name for it is "bacterial SSU rRNA". It matches the Rfam family "Bacterial small subunit ribosomal RNA", at positions 25 to 950 of the family's 1533-position model. The record is from RNAcentral. Lineage: Bacteria; Bacillati; Bacillota; Bacilli; Lactobacillales; Lactobacillaceae.